UGAUUUGAGAGAAACCAAUUUGAUCGAAACAAGAUAAUUCCGGGUUCCAAUGGCCUGAGAGCGAGAAACAUCCACUCAAUCUGGUAACUUUUCUUACUUCUUCUUCUUCCACCCUUUCCAAACAUUGCAAUGUCGAGAUUCGUCGCGUCUUCGAAUGGCGGGAGACAAACCCACUAAGCAAACGAGUUUCGCCGCCCUGAAAAGACAGGACUUUGCGUCCCCAGCUGGCCAGCUCUAAUUCGUCGGUGGUUCCCGGAAAAGAUCAAUACACCUACAAAAAAAAAAAAAAGAGAGAGACUGCUGUUUUGAAAAGAAAAAAAAACAACAACAAACCGGAGAAGCAUACCAGAAACCGGAAUUCAUGGACCAUAUAAAACCGGUACUACUGACCGGUUUAUGGUAGAAACUAAAAAGCCAUAAUUUCAAUAUGAGUCCCGUACUAUUCUUUUGUUGCUUGCUUAGCCCCAAUUGUUUUAUCCUACACCCGUUAACCCUCUGCAAGUCACUGGGCUUGAUAGUCAGGAUCUAGAGUAAUUGCAAGUCAUUAUAGUUCUCUCUGUCUCACUCGUACGACAAAUGGGCGAAGAAAGAUUGAAAAUUUCUCAGCUUUUUCGGGUAAGUUCUCUGAAUCGUUUGUAUUCCACUUCACCUUUGGCACAUGGUUGAGAUUUCAGACGUAGCGUAAGUAAAUCUAACUUCGUCAGAAACAAACAAAUCAAAUAUAAAUACAAACGGUUCCUUUGACAUUCAGAAUUUGUAAUUGAUGAUUGAAAGUAAAAUAUCUAUCUAUUUUGGACAAGGACUUGAGACUUGUUUUGUUUGUUCGUAUUAAGAAAAUUUUAGCUGCUGAAUCAAUUUUGAAGACACGAAUUUAUCAUCUCUGUCAGCUUUCCAUUUCUAGAUAGUUGUUAGCUUGGGAUGACUUGGUUUCACUUACAAAGCAAUCAUUUUUGCAAAUACAAUCUUUCAACUCUGUAAUAUCUACAUGUCGUUGACAUAUUUCUACAUGCCCCUAACUUAUCUUGCUCAUCUACUAAAAAUGCCAAGAUUAUUAGCUCUUUUGUAGAUCUCUGAUGAGGAUAAUAAUUCCGCUUUUAAGGUGAAAUGAGUUGCUUCAUUAAUGUAUCAGGAGUUUGUAACCCUCCAAGAGCGAUGAUGAGGACGAUUCUUCUCCAUCUGUGGUGCCCUGUUCAUGCUGUUGGUUAUCGUUUUCUUCUAGCCCGAGUUCGCUUUCCAGGUGCUUGAACCAUUUCUCAAUUUCAUCUCCUUCAGACUCUUGAGGAGCCCUUGAACUCCAACUGUUCUCAAGAUGUUGGAAUGAGUCUGAACCAUCUAUGAAACUCCAAAUGUCAUGAUCUAAAUCAAAAGGUAUCUCCAGCAGCUCUGGUUUGUCUACCUCUUGUAACAUCCCUGUAAACUCGCUGUAAGUUUGAAUAUGCUCGAACGCUUGACUUAUCUGUGCAUCAUCUUCUUCUCUGCUUGAAAUGUUGGAGCCAGCGAAAGACAUGGAGGCAUUAGGAGAUGACUCUUGAGAGGUCUCAGCUUCGUUCAAAGAAUCUUUUGAAGCCGCUUCAUCGGCAUUAAGGUUAGUAGUGUCUGAGCUCAAUCUUUUCUUGAGAUGUGUAUGCCACACGUUCUUGAUCUCAUUGUCUGUUCUUCCUGGCAGUUUAGAAGCAAUCUUCGACCACCUGUAUCAAAAAUGCAGAAAAACAAGUGUCAAAAUUGGAACUUUGAGCCACACAAGGUAUAUUAACAAGAUGAGACAUACUUGUUCCCAAAGCUCUGGUGAAGUUUAAUGAUGGUUUCUUCUUCCUCUGCGCUGAAAUUGCCACGUUUCACAUCAGGUCUGAGGUAAUUAAUCCAUCGUAGACGACAGCUCUUGCCACACCUUAACAAUCCUUCAUUGCAUUUGCAUGCAUAGAUAGAAUCAGAACCAGAAGAUUAGAAAAUCUCAAGAAAAGUAGGAUCUUUAAGAUCGGGG
This 1981-nucleotide long non-coding RNA is filed under the name Capsella grandiflora. Its description in RNAcentral is "long non-coding RNA (CGRA_LNC001671)". Lineage: Eukaryota; Viridiplantae; Streptophyta; Magnoliopsida; Brassicales; Brassicaceae. The record is from RNAcentral.